GUCUGUAUAGUUUAAUAAAACAUUACAUUUUCAGUGUAAAAUUAGGUAAUAAUCUUACAGAUU
RNAcentral lists this transfer RNA (63 nucleotides) under Anaplecta sp. 3 ZQW-2020. RNAcentral describes it as "tRNA-Glu". It matches the Rfam family "tRNA". From Rfam's summary of the family: Transfer RNA (tRNA) molecules are approximately 80 nucleotides in length. The record is from RNAcentral. Lineage: Eukaryota; Metazoa; Arthropoda; Insecta; Blattodea; Anaplectidae.